Vitis riparia (riverbank grape) is the source of this 733-nucleotide long non-coding RNA. RefSeq lists it as uncharacterized. The transcript is spliced from 2 exons. The record is from RefSeq and is a predicted model, not a curated record. NCBI's taxonomy places the organism in Eukaryota, Viridiplantae, Streptophyta, Magnoliopsida, Vitales, Vitaceae.
UGGUGUUUUCGAUUUAAUUAUGUUAAAUUUUUGUAGGGUAAAAGAGAAUGUUAAACUCAGGAUUCUUGUGGCCUUAACGACAUCCAAACACGUUAAAAAACGCAGCUCUCACGUGACGUGUGAGACUAACGACUUCAAAAGUGAGAGUGAAACUUGUUCAGUUAGCUUCAAAAGUGGGAGUAUGGCGAUAUCAAUCCAUAAAACCCAUUCAAGAACGCAGUACUCAGCUCUCAUUGUCUUCUCUCUAAAGCUUCUCUCUCUAAAAGCUUCCUCAUAGAUAAGUUCAAAACCCUAGUUCAAAACCGAUUAUGAGUUCUUCUCAUGGGUUUUCUCAACAAUCAAAUAACCAUUGUUUAAUAUUAUUUUCGUGAUAUCUUCGUCUGGUUUAGAUUUGAUCGUUUUUUCAUAUGCAUUUUUUUUUUCUUUUCAAGAGUUUCCUUUCCUUUUCUUGGUUUUCUCGGCAACCAAACGGCUGUUCUUGUAGGGUUUCGACAAGGGAAUUCAGUGAAGAUUGUGGUGUUUUCGAUCUUCGGACUGUUAAAUUUCUCAAACUGAACUAUUCUUUCAGGAAACUUAGGGCUCGGAGAGGAGAGGAGUGACAAUUGAGAGGGUUUCGAUAAGGGGAUUCGGUGAAGAUUGUGGUGUUUUCGAUCUUCGGACUGUUAAAUUUGUCAAACUAAACAAUUCUUUUAGGUGAUAACCUCUUUUAUUCAUUCGUUUAUUUAUGAAGAUC